AUUGAACGCUGGCGGAAUGCUUUACACAUGCAAGUCGAACGGCAGCACGGGGCAACCUGGUGGCGAGUGGCGAACGGGUGAGUAAUACAUCGGAACGUGCCCAAUCGUGGGGGAUAACGUAGCGAAAGUUACGCUAAUACCGCAUACGAUCUACGGAUGAAAGCGGGGGAUCGCAAGACCUCGCGCGAGUGGAGCGGCCGAUGUCAGAUUAGGUAGUUGGUGGGGUAAAGGCUCACCAAGCCAACGAUCUGUAGCUGGUCUGAGAGGACGACCAGCCACACUGGAACUGAGACACGGUCCAGACUCCUACGGGAGGCAGCAGUGGGGAAUUUUGGACAAUGGGCGCAAGCCUGAUCCAGCCAUUCCGCGUGCAGGAUGAAGGCCUUCGGGUUGUAAACUGCUUUGUUACGGAACGAAACGGCGAGCUCUAAUACAGUUUGCUAAUGACGGUACCGUAAGAAUAAGACACCGGCUAACUACGUAGCCAGCAGCCGCGGUAA
This 500-nucleotide ribosomal RNA is filed under the name uncultured bacterium. RNAcentral describes it as "bacterial SSU rRNA". It matches the Rfam family "Bacterial small subunit ribosomal RNA", at positions 30 to 523 of the family's 1533-position model. The record is from RNAcentral.